UAAACAAAUCCAAGUGUCAGAGCUGGAUCUCACUCUAUUUAUAUGAUGUGAUGGUGUCUGUUAAACUUUGGAGAACAGAGAAGACUCCAGUCCAAACAACACACACCAUGUUCUCUACAUCUCUACUGCUCCUGCUGGCAGCUGCUUCUUGUGUUCACAGUGUUGAGCUGAUCCAGACCGGAUCCACAGUAUUAACUCCUGGUCAGUCACUGACUCUGACCUGUAAAGUGUCUGGAUAUUCAUUAACUGAUAGCAGCUACUGUACACACUGGAUACGACAACCUGCAGGAAAAACUCUGGAAUGGAUCGGAGGUAUAUGUGGUGAUGGUAACACUUACUACAGUGAGAAACUGAAAAGCAGGUUUCAGGCUUCCAGAGACACGUCCAGCAGCACAGUGACAUUAACAGGACAGAACAUGCAGACUGAAGACACAGCUGUGUAUUACUGCGCUCGUGAACCACAGUGA
Non-coding RNA from Tachysurus vachellii, 467 nucleotides. The record is from the annotation of a RefSeq genome assembly. NCBI's taxonomy places the organism in Eukaryota, Metazoa, Chordata, Actinopteri, Siluriformes, Bagridae.